AGGCAGCCAGGGCAGGUGGCAGGUGGUGGAGUGCUCCCAGGGAGGGCACAGCCACCUGACAAUGAGCAGAUGAUGCCAGAGCCCCACCUGCUUUUCACAGGCAGCGCCUGCCCAGCACUUGCGCACGGCAGGCUGGUGCCCCGGGUAGACUUGGCACCUGCCCUGUAUGUCUCCAGGAUCCCCAGCAGGACGGAGGCCAGCCGUCUGCAGUGGUCAUCUCCUUGGCCAGCUCAUGCCAUCUGGCUGAGGGGACAUCUGCUGAGGUGGCCUGCCCAGCCUCCACUCCUGCUUCUGGAGCUGCCCCUGGCUGUGCUUUGGAGAGCCACUCUCCCAGCCUUCUUAGUCACGAUGGCCUGGGACCGUCUCUGUGAGAGACCCUGCGCAGACCCCGACAGCUCCCCGCCUCCUCAGGACGAAAGCCCGGCUCCAGCCUGGGAGCCAGUCCUGUUCACCUCUGCUGCACCUUCUCCCCCAACUCUGUUCCUCACAUGAUGCCCUCUCCACUGCCCAGGCUCUGCCCUGCCUGUGCUCACCCCCAGUGACCCUGUCCCGCUCUCUGCCUGGGAACCUCUCCUGAGACUCGGUGUCCCUCGGGCCCAUCCAGCCCCUCCCCCCAUGGGCACCGUCCCUCCUUUUGCUCAUUCAUCUGUCUUGGUCCCUGCCAACCACUGGCCCCUAAAGGGUGCGCUCCUUGUGCGCAGAAUGCCUGGGAUCCGAGCCAAGACAAUAUGCACGCACCCACUGGGCAUGUGGUACUGUGCCAGGUGUGGCGCUGUGUGGUGAGCCAGACCAGCAAGACGCCUGCCUUCAGGGCUCAUGUUCAAUCCGAGGAGCAGAGCGGAAAUCAGCAAACCCAUGUGUGCAGCCUGUGGUGCAGAGAUGGGCUGAGGCCAGUUGUGCCUGGUUCAGCGUCCAGCUGCCCCACUGACGGCUGUAGCGGUCAGCUGCUGUCACAGGAAUGCUGCGCAGCAGGGUGCCCCAAACGCAGGGCCUCUCACUCACUCUCAGCCCCGUGCGCAGGCUGAAGAGGCUUUCUGAGCUGAGCUCAGCUCUGCCUCACCGAGCUUCUCUUUGGCCCGGCAGCCUGGAGCACAGCCUCACAGUGGAUUUUGGCUUCUCUGAGGGGCAAGCAGAGACAUCCUGCGACUCCUGUGGCCGAGGCAAGGAGCUCACACUCUUUCCCUCUGCCCACAUCCCACUGGCCACACAGGUCACACAGGCAAGUCCAUCCUCCCUGGGCCGGGAAGUGUACUUCACCCAUGGGGGUGAGGGAGUGAAGUUUGUGUCUGUGUCUCAGUUUCCUUAUGGGGAAA
Long non-coding RNA from Manis pentadactyla (Chinese pangolin), 1313 nucleotides. RefSeq lists it as uncharacterized. Lineage: Eukaryota; Metazoa; Chordata; Mammalia; Pholidota; Manidae. The transcript is spliced from 3 exons. The record is from RefSeq and is a predicted model, not a curated record.